Telopea speciosissima is the source of this 136-nucleotide long non-coding RNA. RefSeq lists it as uncharacterized. The record is from RefSeq and is a predicted model, not a curated record. Lineage: Eukaryota; Viridiplantae; Streptophyta; Magnoliopsida; Proteales; Proteaceae. The transcript is spliced from 3 exons.
AUAGAAUUUAUGGAUCCUUAUUUGCAAGAAAGAAUUACUUCUACCAAAAAAGGAUCCAUAACUUUUAUUCAAGCAGUUUAUGUACCUGUGGACGAUUUGACUGACCCUGCUCCUGCCACGACAUUUGCACAUUUAG